UGGGGAAUAUUGCACAAUGGGGGAAACCCUGAUGCAGCGACGCCGCGUGGAGGAAGAAGGUCUUCGGAUUGUAAACUCCUGUUGUUGGGGAAAAAGAGGAUGGUACCCAACAAGGAAGUGACGGCUAACUACGUGCCAGCAGCCGCGGUAAAACGUAGGUCACGAGCGUUGUCCGGAAUUACUGGGUGUAAAGGGAGCGCAGGCGGGUAUGCAAGUUGGGAGUGAAAUACAUGGGCUCAACCCAUGAACUGCUCUCAAAACUGUGUAUCUUGAGUAGUGCAGAGGUAGGCGGAAUUCCCGGUGUAGCGGUGGAAUGCGUAGAUAUCGGGAGGAACACCAGUGGCGAAGGCGGCCUACUGAGCACCAACUGACGCUGAGGCUCGAAAGUGUGGGUAGCAAACA
RNAcentral lists this ribosomal RNA (402 nucleotides) under uncultured bacterium. Its description in RNAcentral is "bacterial SSU rRNA". It matches the Rfam family "Bacterial small subunit ribosomal RNA", at positions 355 to 774 of the family's 1533-position model. The record is from RNAcentral.